CAGCAGCCGCGGUAAAACGGAGGGUGCAAGCGUUAAUCGGAUUUACUCGGCGUAAAGCGUGCGUAGGCGGCUUCUUAAGUCGGAUGUGAAAUCCCUGAGCUUAACUUAGGAAUUGCAUUCGAUACUGGGUCACUAGAGUGUGGUAGAGGAUAGUGGAAUUUCCGGUGUAGCAGUGAAAUGCGUAGAGAUCGGAAGGAACAUCUGUGGCGAAGGCGACUAUCUGGGCCAACACUGACACUGAGGCACGAAAGCGUGGGGAGCAAACAGGAUUAGAUACCCCCGUAGUCCCUGUCUCUUAUAC
This 301-nucleotide ribosomal RNA is filed under the name uncultured bacterium. RNAcentral's name for it is "partial 16S ribosomal RNA". It matches the Rfam family "Bacterial small subunit ribosomal RNA", at positions 509 to 807 of the family's 1533-position model. The record is from RNAcentral.